UCAUACCCUGUCCAACAAUCCAAGGCAAUUCAGUGGAAAACAGACAUCUGCAAACCCUGUUUCCAUUACCAUACUACUAUGGUCUUUUGUUUUGGAUCCUCAUUGCCUUGCAUCAUGGAGAAACACUGCAGUCCAAAUCCAUUAGCCUGCAGCAUGAAACACCAUUAAUGUCUAGGAUCAAAGCACUCUACUGCAUUAAGCCAAAAGCCAGGUCGCAACCAUGUUGCAAGUUGGUUUUGCUGGAAACAAAUGCCCAGCCUCAUCAAACCACA
Molecule: long non-coding RNA, 272 nt
Filed under: Lathyrus oleraceus (garden pea)
Lineage: Eukaryota; Viridiplantae; Streptophyta; Magnoliopsida; Fabales; Fabaceae
Description: Pisum sativum (pea) long non-coding RNA (PSAT_LNC030919)
Source: RNAcentral